CACACAGGUUCUCGAGGUAUUCAUCCAGGACAUGACUUUUGGCAUUAUAGUUGUGGGUGACCAAAUUGAGCACCAUCAAUCUGCAGCAUAUCAGCGGCUGUAACACCAUCUCAUGAAAUUGAAGAAUUAGUGAAGGGCAUAGAAAUUGACAUCUUGAUUGUUACUAAGGAAGAGCAAUGGUAAAUGCUUCCAAAAGAAACCAUUGCCGUUGCCAUCAUUUUGGAAGAGAGUCUUGACCUCACCGAUAUCUGUGACGUCCUGAAAGCAUUUGUGCUUUGGAUAGGUCUUCUUUACAUCGUUAACACUGAUUACCCAAAACACAUGAAGCACACUUCUGAUGUUCUCCAAAAACUUUUCAUGAACAUUGGUGGGAGCAGCUGUUCUUAGUGUGUUUACGGGCUACGCAACAUGCUACUCCACAAGAAAUUUAUAAUCCCUAAUCUGUUCUUUUGAUUAAAUGUGAAUUAGUGAAAGGAAUGUAAAUAUGUACUGCAAUUGUUACACAGAAAUGAAAUGUCAAUGUUUAUCUAUGUUUUUUAAAGUUAGGGUGUUUUAAUACUAAACACAGUAAUACUAAGUAGGAGGUUGUCUAUUUUGAAUUCAAAUAAAAUAGCCUUCUGCAUGUU
Molecule: long non-coding RNA, 626 nt
Organism: Labeo rohita (rohu)
Lineage: Eukaryota; Metazoa; Chordata; Actinopteri; Cypriniformes; Cyprinidae
Exons: 2
Source: RefSeq, a predicted model, not a curated record